Molecule: ribosomal RNA, 430 nt
Filed under: uncultured bacterium
Lineage: Bacteria
Description: partial 16S ribosomal RNA
Rfam family: Bacterial small subunit ribosomal RNA
Source: RNAcentral
AACGAACGCUGGCGGCAGGCCUAACACAUGCAAGUCGAGCGCCCUUUCGGGGGAGCGGCGGCCGGGUGAGUAACGCGUGGGAAUAUGCCCUUCUCUACGGAAUAGCCUCGGGAAACUGAGAGUAAUACCGUAUACGCCCUGUGGGGGAAAGAUUUAUCGGGGAAGGAUUAGCCCGCGUUGGAUUAGGUAGUUGGUGGGGUAAUGGCCUACCAAGCCGACGAUCCAUAGCUGGUUUGAGAGGAUGAUCAGCCACACUGGGACUGAGACACGGCCCAGACUCCUACGGGAGGCAGCGGGGGGGAAUCUUAGAAAAGGGGGGCAACCCUGAUCUACCCAGGCCGGGGGAGUGAUGAAGGCCUUGGGGUUGAAAAGCUCUUUCAGCUGGGAAGAUAAUGCCGGUACCAGCAGAAGAAGCCCCGGCUAACUCCGU